This 254-nucleotide ribosomal RNA is filed under the name uncultured bacterium. RNAcentral's name for it is "partial 16S ribosomal RNA". It matches the Rfam family "Bacterial small subunit ribosomal RNA", at positions 524 to 776 of the family's 1533-position model. The record is from RNAcentral.
UACGUAGGCAGCGAGCGUUGUUCGGAGUUACUGGGCGUAAAGGGUGUGUAGGCGGUUGUUUUAAGUUUGGUGUGAAAUCUCCCGGCUCAACUGGGAGGGUGCGCCGAAUACUGAAUGGCUAGAGUCCGGAAGAGGAGAGUGGAAUUCCUGGUGUAGCGGUGAAAUGCGCAGAUAUCAGGAAGAACACCCGUGGCUAAGGCGGCUCUCUAGUACGGUACUGACGCUGAGACGCGAAAGCGUGGGGAGCGAACAGG